Molecule: long non-coding RNA, 1196 nt
Organism: Empidonax traillii (willow flycatcher)
Lineage: Eukaryota; Metazoa; Chordata; Aves; Passeriformes; Tyrannidae
Exons: 3
Source: RefSeq, a predicted model, not a curated record
UAAGUACAGAGCACAUCCAGGUACUCAGCACAUCCCCUCAUCUCGGGUUAUUCCAAAGGGAAUAUGAGCUGUAACAGUGCUCCUGAGGGCAGGGAAGGCAGGAGAGCUCCCAACCAACAGAGUUCUCUGACCGUAGCCAGCUCUCAGUGGCUGGGAGACACUUACACCAGGAGAGCAAAAACCAGCUGCUGGUUUACUGGGAGCACCAGCAAGCAUAUAUUCCUUUUAAAUAUUCCUCACCCACCUACCUGCCUGAGGGGUUUUCCCUCAUUCCUGCACCUGCCUUUUUCUACACACAGCUGCAACUGUGCUGCUGGGUUGGGAUGUUAUGGAUAAACACACUUGGGUUCUACCUCCCCCUGGCAUGUCUUGUGGGGCAUUUUAAGAGAACCGGGUACCAAGUGGCACAGAGAAUUUACCCAGUGGGGUAAAUCCCACUGCACAGGUAUCCUGGUGCUUUUUGGGCUGGCUGCCUGCUCUGCUCCUGUCCUUACUUUAAUGAAUGAGAUUGUGGGUAAGAUUACAAGUGUCAGGGGGCGGAAUUUUGGUUGAAGUAUUUUUCUUGUGAUUUCAAAUAUUUAAUGCACACUGCUCUUUCUUCCUCUUGAAGCAGAUGGAAAGUUUAGUAAACACAAAGCUUCUACUAAACCAAAACACUUACAGGCCACAGGCCAGAACUGAUCCCUCCUGAGAGACAGAGCAGGCAUUUUAAACUGCCUAUUUCCAAAGUGAUGGGGGAUUUUGUAAUAACAGAAAUCCGCUUCGGUGACACAACGCCAGAACAGCUUCUGAAACGCCUUUCAAUCAUUUCAAAUGGAGUCUGGAUCCAAAGGGAGGCAGUUUAAUCCCAGGAGAGCCUGAUCUGCUGUGCUAAGUUAUGAAGAUCAAGUCAGGCUGUCCCUGGACUGCACACUCGGUGACCUCAGCUUCACCAGCAGCACAGGCUGUUUCCUGAGCGUCAUGAGCUGAUGGAAAACCCCACCGCCUGCAGCGGGAACAAACCCCCGAGAUGGAAUCAGCCAGCUGGAAAGAACGUUCAGAAUUACAUCCCCAAAAACAGGCAUUCAAAUAGCUUGGGAACCCUUUGCCACCCAGCACUCCACAGCCUAGGGAAGUGCAGGUUUUGAAAACCAGCCUCCUAAGUUUUACAUGGAUAAGCAGCAAAGUGCACACGAGGAAGAGGCAGAAUCCCAGAG